RNAcentral lists this ribosomal RNA (301 nucleotides) under uncultured bacterium. RNAcentral's name for it is "partial 16S ribosomal RNA". It matches the Rfam family "Bacterial small subunit ribosomal RNA", at positions 509 to 807 of the family's 1533-position model. The record is from RNAcentral.
CAGUCGCCGCGGGAAUACGGAGGGGGCUAGCGUUGUUCGGAAUUACUGGGCGUAAAGCGCACGUAGGCGGCUUGGUAAGUUAGAGGUGAAAGCCUGGAGCUCAACUCCAGAAUUGCCUUUAAGACUGCCGAGCUAGCAGGUGAGAGAGGUAAGUGGAAUUCCGAGUGUAGAGGUGAAAUUCGUAGAUAUUCGGAAGAACACCAGUGGCGAAGGCGGCUUACUGGCUCAUACUGGACGCUGAGGUGCGAAAGCGUGGGGAGCAAACAGGAUUAGAUACCCGGGUAGUCCCUGUCUCUUAUAC